Molecule: ribosomal RNA, 253 nt
Filed under: uncultured bacterium
Lineage: Bacteria
Description: partial 16S ribosomal RNA
Rfam family: Bacterial small subunit ribosomal RNA
Source: RNAcentral
UACAGAGGGUGCAAGCGUUAAUCGGAAUUACUGGGCGUAAAGCGUGCGUAGACGGUUAUGUAAGUCGGGUGUGAAAGCCCCGGGCUCAACCUGGGAAUUGCAUUCGAGACUGCAUAGCUAGAGUGCGGAAGAGGGAAGCGGAAUUUCCGGUGUAGCGGUGAAAUGCGUAGAUAUCGGAAGGAAUACCAGUGGCGAAAGCGGCUUCCUGGUCCAGCACCGACGUUCAGGCACGAAAGCGUGGGGAGCAAACAGG